This 533-nucleotide unclassified non-coding RNA is filed under the name Hevea brasiliensis (rubber tree). Lineage: Eukaryota; Viridiplantae; Streptophyta; Magnoliopsida; Malpighiales; Euphorbiaceae. The record is from RNAcentral.
GGCUUCAAGCUCCUGAACGGCACAAAUCUAUUGUGCGCCCAGAACUACUGGAUGCAACCCUUCUCAAUGUGGUGCAUCACUUUAGACUACAGCGCGGAUACAGGUACCUGAAUGUGCCUGAAAGUAAAGCUGUAGUGAACCACUAUAAAUAUCAGGUGUGGGAUACUUUCAAAACCAAGUUCUUCAGGCGAGUUUCUACCUAUGUUGCUAACUGGCAAGAGGACCAAAACAAGGGUUCAAAAGACAGAGCACCUGGACUAGGGACAGUGGCCAUAGAACCUCCUGAUUGGCGACUACGGUUCUGUGAAGUUUGGGACACUGGUCUUAAGGAUUUUGUCUUGGCCAACUUUGCUGAUACUGCAACUGGGUUUCUUCCUUGGGAGAGGUCUCCUUUCUAACAAAUUCACGAUUUGAAGGUGCUUGCAGGUAGGCGCCAUUGUAAAACAGAUUAAUCAUACACGCAGGGUUCCAUUCUUUUGUUUCUUCAGCAAUUUUUGUAUCUUAUUUUUUUUGGUUUGUCAUAAACAUUCAAA